Molecule: ribosomal RNA, 253 nt
Filed under: uncultured bacterium
Lineage: Bacteria
Description: partial 16S ribosomal RNA
Rfam family: Bacterial small subunit ribosomal RNA
Source: RNAcentral
UACAGAGGGGGCAAGCGUUGUUCGGAAUUACUGGGCGUAAAGGGCGCGUAGGCGGCCUGUUAAGUCGAACGUGAAAUCCCCGGGCUCAACCCGGGAACUGCGUCCGAUACUGGCAGGCUUGAAUUCGGGAGAGGGAUGCGGAAUUCCAGGUGUAGCGGUGAAAUGCGUAGAUAUCUGGAGGAACACCGGUGGCGAAGGCGGCAUCCUGGACCGAGAUUGACGCUGAGGCACGAAGGCCAGGGGAGCAAACAGG